AUGAAGAACCUGAGGAUGUGCUGUGACUGCCAUGAGACGUUCAAGCUCAUAAGUAGCAUUGUGGAGCGCGAGUUUGUUGUGAGAGAUCUGAAUAGAUUCCAUCACUUCAAGAUGGGUUCAUGUUCUUGCAAUGACUACUGGUGA
This 144-nucleotide ribosomal RNA is filed under the name Triticum aestivum (bread wheat). RNAcentral's name for it is "partial small subunit ribosomal RNA". Lineage: Eukaryota; Viridiplantae; Streptophyta; Magnoliopsida; Poales; Poaceae. The record is from RNAcentral.